RNAcentral lists this ribosomal RNA (549 nucleotides) under uncultured bacterium. RNAcentral describes it as "bacterial SSU rRNA". It matches the Rfam family "Bacterial small subunit ribosomal RNA", at positions 356 to 896 of the family's 1533-position model. The record is from RNAcentral.
AGGGAAUCUUCGGCAAUGGGGGGAACCCUGACCGAGCAACGCCGCGUGAGUGAAGAAGGUUUUCGGAUCGUAAAGCUCUGUUGUAAGAGAAGAACGGGUGUGAGAGUGGAAAGUUCACACUGUGACGGUAUCUUACCAGAAAGGGACGGCUAACUACGUGCCAGCAGCCGCGGUAAUACGUAGGUCCCGAGCGUUGUCCGGAUUUAUUGGGCGUAAAGCGAGCGCAGGCGGUUAGAUAAGUCUGAAGUUAAAGGCUGUGGCUUAACCAUAGUAUGCUUUGGAAACUGUUUAACUUGAGUGCAGAAGGGGAGAGUGGAAUUCCAUGUGUAGCGGUGAAAUGCGUAGAUAUAUGGAGGAACACCGGUGGCGAAAGCGGCUCUCUGGUCUGUAACUGACGCUGAGGCUCGAAAGCGUGGGGAGCAAACAGGAUUAGAUACCCUGGUAGUCCACGCCGUAAACGAUGAGUGCUAGGUGUUAGGCCCUUUCCGGGGCUUAGUGCCGCAGCUAACGCAUUAAGCACUCCGCCUGGGGAGUACGACCGCAAGGUUG